AUCCUUGCAAUGUUAUUAUAUUACAGGAUUCAAAGGCACACCAUUUUAUGGUAGCGGAAUAAAGGGUGGAGUGGUGGAGGAGGACUUCUCUUGGUUCGGAUUGGGAGGGUCAUCAAGCAGAGUGUGUAGAGAGGAUGAGGUUGUAAAAUGCCAAAAACUACGUCAGAUGGGAGGUGAAAAUACAGCGAUGUUGCCCUUUUUGAUCCACCACUUUGAGG
Molecule: long non-coding RNA, 218 nt
Organism: Stylophora pistillata
Lineage: Eukaryota; Metazoa; Cnidaria; Anthozoa; Scleractinia; Pocilloporidae
Source: RefSeq, a predicted model, not a curated record